UCCGGUUUGUCACCGGCAGUCUCCCUAGAGUUCCCGGCCGAACCGCUGGCAACUAGGGACAAGGGUUGCGCUCAUUACGGGACUUAACCCAACAUCUCACGACACGAGCUGACGACAGCCAUGCACCACCUGCACACAGGCCACAAGGGAACCGACAUCUCUGCCGGAAUCCUGUGCAUGUCAAACCCAGGUAAGGUUCUUCGCGUUGCAUCGAAUUAAGCCACAUGUUCCGCCGCUUGUGCGGGUCCCCGUCAAUUCCUUUGAGUUUUAGCCUUGCGGCCGUACUCCCCAGGCGGGGUGCUUAAUGCGUUAGCGUCGGCACGGAGAGGGUUGAAGACCUCCCCACACCUAGCACCCAACGUUUACGGCUGGGACUAC
RNAcentral lists this unclassified non-coding RNA (378 nucleotides) under uncultured Actinomycetes bacterium. Its description in RNAcentral is "uncultured actinobacterium contains 16S-23S intergenic spacer region". Lineage: Bacteria; Bacillati; Actinomycetota; Actinomycetes. The record is from RNAcentral.